RNAcentral lists this ribosomal RNA (433 nucleotides) under uncultured bacterium. Its description in RNAcentral is "partial 16S ribosomal RNA". It matches the Rfam family "Bacterial small subunit ribosomal RNA", at positions 29 to 507 of the family's 1533-position model. The record is from RNAcentral.
AACGAACGCUGGCGGCAUGCCUAACACAUGCAAGUCGAACGAGACCUUCGGGUCUAGUGGCGCACGGGUGCGUAACGCGUGGGAACCUGCCCUUAGGUUCGGAAUAACUCCCCGAAAGGGGUGCUAAUACCGGAUAAUGUCUUCGGACCAAAGAUUUAUCGCCUUUGGAUGGGCCCGCGUUGGAUUAGCUAGUUGGUAGGGUAAAAGCCUACCAAGGCGACGAUCCAUAGCUGGUCUGAGAGGAUGAUCAGCCACACUGGGACUGAGACACGGCCCAGAAUCCUACGGGAGGCAGCAGUGGGGAAUAUUGGACAAUGGGCGAAAGCCUGAUCCAGCAAUGCCGCGUGAGUGAUGAAGGCAUUAGAGUUGUAAAGCUCUUUUAACCGGGAUGAUAAUGACAGUACCGGGAGAAUAAGCUCCGGCUAACUCCGUG